CUCCUACAUUCUUUUUAAGCUCUCACCAACUGUAACCUCUUAUUUCUACACUUUUUCCCUCUGUAGUCAACCAAUUUGGCCUCAGGUCAAUUAAGCGUUAAUUUUUUUUUUUUUUUUAAUGCUAGAGAUAGAGAGGCUGAGGGGAAUGAAAAGGAUCCAGUGGCAAUCAAGAUAAAUGGCUCCACAGUUUCAGCCCUUCUGAAAUUGAUUUCCCAUUUAAGAGAUGCUUUUGACUCUGGUCCAGACCAAAACAAAGCAAGGUCACAAUUUUUUGAGGGUCACAAUGUAGUGAAGCCUGGGAUUUAUUGGGAAAAUCCUUCAUGAUGAGAUUUCCAGUUUAUAUUUCCAGGUGUGGAAAGUGUUUUCCCAGAAGUUUAAUGACAGAGCCAACAGGAUAGGUGCUUUCCUGAUUCAAACAGAGAGAAAACCUAUGACUCACAUGGAUGAGUCUUAAUGAGUGAGCUUGGCUACAGGAUUGUGCAUCUCCUGGGAACUUCAGAACUUGGAAAAGAAGCUAAUCCUAAAGAAAGGGGGUGAAACCAUUUAUGAAAAACUCUAGUGAUGAUUUAGCAGCGAAUGAG
Miniopterus natalensis is the source of this 581-nucleotide non-coding RNA. Lineage: Eukaryota; Metazoa; Chordata; Mammalia; Chiroptera; Miniopteridae. The record is from RefSeq and is a predicted model, not a curated record.